GAAAAUGGCUGUCCUUGCUAGGAAAAUGGCUGUGUUGUUGUUUUUUUGCUAUCCUAACAUAAUCUAAUGUUUUGCUUUCGCUGUAAAGCCUUUUUGAAAUCGGACAACAUGGUUGGAUUCAGGAGAGGUUUAUGUUUCAAAUGGUGUAAAAUAGUCGUAUGUUUGAGAAUUGAAUUGUGGUAUUUUAGUUGUUUUUGUAUUUCACGCCAUGCGAUCCCAUUGGCUGUUGGCUAGGGUUCCGCUGGCGGCUAGAUGUAAGAGGUUUUAAGAUAUAAGGGGGAUCAUAGCUAUAUUCAAUAAAAUGUACAAGUUGAUGUAAAACCUGUGUUUAACACUUUAUCAUGGUUGGUGUCUUGACAGAUUUGUCUAAAAUGUGUGGCAUAAAAAAAUUCUGUCCUUGCAUUUAUGGCAGUGUAAGUUGUUGUUAUGUCAUAUAUUAAGCAUUAAUCAGUUAAAUUAGACAUUGAACUUUAACCCUGUAAGAAUCCUGUAUCUAGCUGUCGGACAGUUUUUGGUAUAGAGCUCAGAAAUACAUUGUAGCUAUGUAACAUAUUGUGUCUCCUUAUAUUACAUGGUGAAAACCGUUUUUAUGGGCACACGAAUCCAAAUAAUAAAUGCAAUUGAGAAAUCAAAUACUUCUAACCAAAAAAGUCACUUUACCUUGAUAGAUAAAACCUAAAUCGAUACUGUGAUUAACGUGGUUCUUCAAUAAUUAUGCAUAAUACUUAUUGAAUGCGUGUUGGGUGUCCAGCUGAUUAGUUACGCCAUGACAUUUUCACACAUCAUCAUCUGAUCCAAGAAGGAAUUUUCCGAAUGACAGCCAAGUGAGGAACAGCUGUUGUGAUGGCGCAUGCAAUGCAACAACAGCCCAAAAGAGGACCUGAGCACUUGGACCAUGCCUCAGGACUACCUGGCCUGAUUACUCCUUGCUGUCCCCAGUCCACCUGGUCGUGCUGCUGCUCUAGUUUCAAUUGUUCUACCUGCGGCUAUGGAACCUUGACCUGUUCACCCGACGUGCUACCUUGUCCCAGACCUGCUGUUUUCAACUUUCUAGAGACAGCAGGUGCGGUAGAGAUACUCUGAAUGAUCGGCUAUGAAAAGCCAACUGAUAUUUACUCCUGAGGUGCUGACCUUUUUCACCCUCUCCAACCACUGUGAUUAUUAUUAUCUGACCCUACUGGUCAUCUAUGAACAUUUGAACAUCUUGGCAAUGUUCUGUUAUGAUCUCCACCUGGCACAGCCAGAAGAGGACUGGCCACCCCUCAUAGCCUGGUUCCUCUCUAGGUUUCUUCCUAGGUUCCGGCCUUUCUAGGGAGUUUUUCCUAGCCACCAUGCUUCAACACCUGCAUUGCUUGCUGUUUGGGGUUUUAGGCUGGGUUUCUGUACAGCACUUUGUGACAUCAGCUGAUGUAAGACAAGCUUUAUAAAUACCUUUGAUUGAUUACAGCCUCAAGUCUUCUUGGGUAUGACGCUACAAGCUUGGCAAUGAUGCUACAAGCUUGGCACACCUGUAUUUGGGGAGUUUCUCUCAUCCUUCUUUGCAGAUCCUCUCAAGCUCUGUCAGGUUGGAUGGAGAGCGUUGCUGCACAGCUAUUUUCAGGUCUCUCCAGAGAUUUUUGAUCAGGUUUAAGUCCGGGUUUUGGCUGGGCCACUCAAGGACAUUCAGAGACUUGUCCCGAAGCCACUCCUGCGUUGUCCUGGCUAUGUGCUUAGGGUCGUGGUCCUGUUGGAAGGUGAACCUUUGCCACAGUCUGAGGUCCUGAGCGCUCUGGAGCAGGUUUUCAUCAAGGAUCUCUCUGUACUUUGCUCCGUUCAUCUUUCCGUCGAUCCUGUCUAGUCUCCCAGUCCCUGCUACUGAAAAACAUCCCCACAGCAUGAUGCUGCCACCACCUUGCUUCACCGUAGGGAUGGUGCCAGUUUUCCUCCAGAUGUGACGCUUGGUAUUCAGGCAGAAGAGUUCAAUCUCAAAUCUCAAUAGCAAUUGAGACGGCUCAGACAUGAGACAUACGUGGCAGGGUCUACAGGCAAUCACGGACUACAAGAAGAAAACCAGCCACGUCACGGACACCGACGUCUUGCUUCCAGACAAACUAUACAACUUCUUUGCCCACUUUGGGAUAAUACAGUGCCACCAAUGCGGCCCGCUACCAAGGACUGCGGGGCCUCCCUCUCCUUCUCCGUGGCAGACCUGAGUAAGACAUUUAAACGUGUUAGCCCUUGCAAGGCUGCCGGCCCAGAUGGCAUCCCUAGCCGCGUCCUCAGAGCAUGAACAGACCAGCUGGCAGGUGUGUUUACAGACAUAUUCAAUCUCUCCCUAUCCCAGUUUGCUGCCCCAUAUGCUUCAAGAUGGCCACCAUUGUUCCUGUACCCAAGAAGGCAAAGGUAACUGAACUAAAUGACUAUCACCCCGUAGCACUCCCUUCUGUCAUCAUGAAGUGCUUUGAGAGUCGAGUCAACGAUCAUAUCACCUCCACCUUACCUGCCACCCUAGACCCACUUCAAUUUGCAUACCGCCCCAAUAGGUCUACAGACAAUGCAAUCGCCAUCACACUGCACACUGCCCUAUCCCAUAUGGACAAGAGGAAUACUUACGUAAGAAUGCUGUUCAUUGACUACAGCUCAGCAUUGAACACCAUAGUACCCUCCAAGCUCAUCAUUAAGCUUGAGGCCCUGGGUCUCAACCCCGCCCUGUGCAAUUGGGUCCUGGAUUUCCUGACAGGCCAACCCCAGGUGGUGAAGGUAAGAAACAACAUCUCCACUUCACUGAUCCUCAACUCUGGGGUUGAGCCCCCUCCUGUACUCCCUGUUCAAAGCUGGGACUGAGAGACUGAAAAACAGCUUCUAUCUCAAGGCCAUCAGACUCAAGGCCAUCACUAACACAGAGGCUGCUGCCUACAUACAGACUUGAAAUCAUUGGCCACUUUAAUAAAUGGAUCACUAGUCA
RNAcentral lists this long non-coding RNA (2944 nucleotides) under Salmo salar (Atlantic salmon). RNAcentral describes it as "lncRNA (ENSSSAG00000086043.1, ENSSSAG00020074628.1)". Lineage: Eukaryota; Metazoa; Chordata; Actinopteri; Salmoniformes; Salmonidae. The record is from RNAcentral.